GCUGGGCGCGGUGGUGCGCGCCUGUAGUCCCAGCUACUUGGCAGACUGAGGCAGGAAAAUCACUUCAACCCGGGAGGCGGAGGUUGCAGUGAGCUGAGAUAGCGGCUCUCUCACUGCACUCCAGCCUGGGCGACAGAGCAAGACUCCGCCUCAAAAAAANNNNNNNNNNUUUUUUUGAGGCGGAGUCUUGCUCUGUCGCCCAGGCUGGAGUGCAGUGAGAGAGCCGCUAUCUCAGCUCACUGCAACCUCCGCCUCCCGGGUUGAAGUGAUUUUCCUGCCUCAGU
This is a non-coding RNA of Chlorocebus sabaeus (green monkey), 284 nucleotides long. The record is from Rfam. NCBI's taxonomy places the organism in Eukaryota, Metazoa, Chordata, Mammalia, Primates, Cercopithecidae.